CUACGGGUCGCUGCAGUGAGGAAUAUUGCACAAUGGGGGGAACCCUGAUGCAGCAACGCCGCGUGGAGGAUGACGCAUUUCGGUGUGUAAACUCCUUUUAUAUGUCAAGAAAAUGACGGUAGCAUAUGAAUAAGCACCGGCUAACUCCGUGCCAGCAGCCGCGGUAAUACGGAGGGUGCAAGCGUUACUCGGAGUCACUGGGCGUAAAGGACGCGUAGGCGGGUUGGAAAGUCAGGUGUGAAAUCCUACGGCUUAACUGUAGAACUGCACUUGAAACUUCUAAUCUAGAGUAUGGGAGGGGGAGAUGGAAUUAGUGGUGUAGGGGUAAAAUCCGUAGAUAUCACUAGGAAUACCUAAAGCGAAGGCGAUCUCCUGGAACAUUACUGACGCUAAGGCGUGAAAGCGUGGGGAGCAAACAGGAUUAGAUACCCGGGUAGUC
RNAcentral lists this ribosomal RNA (439 nucleotides) under uncultured bacterium. RNAcentral describes it as "partial 16S ribosomal RNA". It matches the Rfam family "Bacterial small subunit ribosomal RNA", at positions 339 to 795 of the family's 1533-position model. The record is from RNAcentral.